UACGCGGGGGGCAAGCGUUGUUCGGAAUUAUUGGGCGUAAAGGGCGCGUAGGCGGUGCGGUAAGUCACCUGUGAAAACUCUGGGCUCAACUCAGAGCCUGCAGGCGAAACUGCCGUGCUUGAGUGUGGGAGAGGUGCGUGGAAUUCCCGGUGUAGCGGUGAAAUGCGUAGAGAUCGGGAAGAACAUCAGUGGCGAAGGCGGUCUGCUGGGCCGUUGCUGACGCUGAGGCGCGACAGCGUGGGGAGCAAACAGG
This 253-nucleotide ribosomal RNA is filed under the name uncultured bacterium. Its description in RNAcentral is "partial 16S ribosomal RNA". It matches the Rfam family "Bacterial small subunit ribosomal RNA", at positions 524 to 776 of the family's 1533-position model. The record is from RNAcentral.